AAACGGAUCGCCCCUCCUGGGGCUCCUUGCUUGGCUAGCUGUGUCCGCCUCUCCUUCGUCCUCAGCUGGAACGGACAGAAAUUUCUAGGACAAGUUUUUCCUUUCUUGUCUCAGUUCCUCUCCUGUGAGCUGCGGGGAAGGGCGGAGAUGAAGGACUCAUGAGAUGUAAUCUAUCUGGCUGGCGCGGACAAGGGUGUAAAACCCCAACAAACCUGUAAUCCCCCUUUCUAGGUGGGGUGCGAGGACACGUAUAGAAACCCCCCCGAUCUCAGUGCCAGGGGGGCAGGCAGGGGCUGGGGAUGCUCGUGCUGAGAGCAAUGGAGAGGGCGGCAAUGGAAGGAACUACGCUGUUGUCAGCAGCUGCUGUCAGAGCUCCGGGGCGGAUCUGUUUCCGGUGCUGGUCCCGCUGCUGCCCGGGACUCGGCUCUCGGACCCACCCACCGAGGCUGUGUGUCAGAUCUUUAAACCGUUAUCUGCUAACAGCUUGAAACGUGUACGUGGUGGGCGUGAGAUUCAUACGUUCAGAUGCGCACACACUUCAGAGCUUGCAUGCAUGCCUGUUUGUCUAUUGUGUGUAUCUUGUUGACUACUACGUGUCCAUACUUCAACGGGCCGCUUUGCAUAUACAGUGGAGUCGCAUCAUACGUGCAUUUAACUUACGCGAAUUUAACUAUACGCGCUCGGCAAAAAAAAAAGGGGAAAAAAGAAAAAAUAAUGAUUCUGCCCACCAUUCCACUCAAUGAGCAUAUUCCCCGGAGUGAGCGUGAGAUGGGAGACGUGAAUCUGCUGUUCCCUCGGUCGGUCUCAGUUCCCGCGUGCCUCUCAUAGUGUGAGCAUCUCGCCGCGCUGCAUAUCAGUGGUGGAUGUAGCUGUAGGUCUGACUCAUCUGUAUAGCACUUUGGGCUGAGGGGAUGGGAUUUGAUUAUCACAGCAGCCACUGACCAUUUUAAAAACAAGACUGGAUGUUUUUCUAGGAAUUAUUUGUGGACGUUCUAUGGCCUGUGUUGUACAGAUCACAAUGGUGCCUUCUGGUCUCACAGUCUAUGAAUCUUUGACAGCAUGGAUUCCCGCUCGUCCAGAGAAACUGCCGAAGAAGAUGGAGGCAGAGCUGAGAAUCUGCUGCUGAUCGGAACCGGCUUUGCUUUGAGGCCAUGUGGACCCACACUUGAACCGCUUCAGUUGAACUGCUGCAAGCGUGUGUGUGGACACUCUUAUUUCAGUUUAGCUUAAACCUCUUCCUAGAGGACUUGGAGCUAAAUCGCAAUCAGUCUGGUUAAAACGGGAACACACGCACGUUCACUGGCUGAGCACCAUGCCUUUAAACUAAACCGGUGCGUAACUGAAUAUACAUGGAUCCUGAAUCGCAGAGAGCUGCAGCCAGUGAGAUAGAGCUGCUCGGAGUCCAGCAUGCCCCCCAGGGACUCCAAGAGAGAGGAGAGAUGGAGGAGCGCUUUGACUGCAGUGGAGGUGCGGAGAGAGGCCCUGGGUCUAACCACACGCUCAGGAAAUGGGCUUCCCGUCAAGUCCUAGUCCCAGCUGUCGUCCUCGCUGCAGUCACAGUUUUUAUGUUGAUCACCAUCAUCACUAUCGCUGCUUUAGCAGAACUGUUAAGAGGUAAUUGCAUGGCCCAGCCAGUCUCUGCUCCCCCUGGAGCUGUCGCAGCCACAGAAUCUCUCCUCCCCGUCCCCUUUGGCUUCGGCAAUCAGGCGAGAAAGGAGUUUGUCUAAAGGCGUAUGCAGCCCCUGUUACCUUAGUAGCUGGAGAUCUGUGAGGCACAGAGGGAUUGUUAUCUCUGUUUUCUGGAUGGGGAAACCGAGGCCCAGAGAGAUCAAGUGGGGGUGUUUUCAAGGUGCUAAAACUUCCUACACCUCAGAGCUUCCCAGCUCCCCAGACACAUAUUGCAUGUCUAGAGUAAAGUGCACAUGGAACUGUAGGAUCAGCAGUGCUAAAAGGGCACAUUAUUGACAGA
Molecule: non-coding RNA, 1969 nt
Organism: Chrysemys picta bellii (western painted turtle)
Lineage: Eukaryota; Metazoa; Chordata; Testudines; Emydidae
Source: RefSeq, a predicted model, not a curated record